Nicotiana attenuata is the source of this 96-nucleotide microRNA precursor. It matches the Rfam family "MIR6152 microRNA precursor family". The record is from Rfam. Lineage: Eukaryota; Viridiplantae; Streptophyta; Magnoliopsida; Solanales; Solanaceae.
UGGACAGAUUAUUGUAUUCGACUGUAUUCACGGCGUGAAACGGGGGAUUACACUGUUUUUAAACGGAAAGUGUAUCAAUUAACAUAAUAGUCUCCU